UAAAAAAAAAAAAAAAAAACAAAGGAACUUUUUUUAUGACUGAAUUCUUUUUUUUAAUUACUUCUUUUUAUUAGACAGUUCAAAUUAAGCUUGAAGAACAAGAAGCAAUACAACUCAACUAUUGAAAUAUAAAGUUGAGCUUAAUUUAUUCAACAAAAUGUACCCAGUAUAUCAGUGUACAAAGCAUCCUGCUGGGCUGGGCAUCAGCCGUGGCACAGCGAACAAGACAGACUGACUCAACCCCCAGGGGGCUUACAUUCUAAUGCAGAAAGCAGAAAAUUUCAGUUUGGAUACAUAAUACAAAUUAUCAAAGCAAGGCACAAAGUAUUUUAAAAAUAAGGGGUUUGGGAGGCAAGGAUCUGACCUACUCUAUAGAAGGUCUCCUUGGGGAAGUAACAGUUGAGCCGAUCUAAGGAUGCUAGAUAGUCACUAGGUCAGUGGAAAAAAUCAGUGGUUCUCACUGUGGUCAGUGGGUUGUUGGUGAUUUCAUAAUAAUUGGGGACUAUUCCCGGCAAUGAGUGGAUGCAGCCAGGGAGAAUGAUGUCCUGCAGCAUGUGGGUUAGUGCCACACAACGAAGAAUUAUUCUGUACGCUGUACGACUGUAUGACUGAAUUCUUACAGCAAAAAGUUAAUGGUCAAUAAAUACAUUUUUGUGAACAUCUUCCCUACCAGAAAAAGGAAAAGAGCACUGAACUUCCCUAAAAUUACUCUUCUAUAUAUAUUUUUUUCAGAAUUAUCUGCAACACACCCCUGUAGAAGAAUGUUCAAGCAGAUUUAGGAGAAAAAAAAAAAAUGACUCUUCUAGCCAGCCAUGGUGGCUCACGCCUGUAAUCUCAACACUUCCGGAGGCCAAGGAAGGAGGAUCACUUGAGCUCAGGAGUUUGAGACCAGCCUGGGCAACAUAGAGAGAUCCCAUCUUUACAAAAAAAUUAUUUAAAAAACUAGUCAGGCAUCAUGGUGUAUGUCUGUAGUCCCAGCUACUCAGGAGGCUGAGAUGGGAAGAUUGCUUGAGCCCAGGAGUCUGAAGCUGAAGUGAGCUAUGAUCACAGCAUUGCACUUCAGCCUGGGUAACAGAGGGAGACCCCUAUCUUAAAAAAAAAAAAAAAAAAAAAAGACUAUCCUAAAUAUAUAUGUAUAUAUAUGUGUGUAUGUACAUAUGGUGUGUGUAUGUCAUGUAUAUAGUAGAUACUGUGUAUAUACACUGUGUAAUUUUGUACCAAAGAUAGUAAUUGAAAUGCUCUCUGUAGUACAUGGUACCCCUCUGUGAAAACUUGUCUUUGCCAUGCAGUUAAAUUUCUUUUUGUGCAUUUGGUGUCUGUCAUUCUGUACUUUGCCCACGUUUCUGUGUUUCACUCAUAAUUUAAGUAAAAUUUCCUAGCAGUUCUCCAUUUAAAACUAAGUAUAAUCUUUUCCUCCCUUCAACGUGGGAAUGAAGUAGCUCAUUUUGACAUACUUAAGGAAAAGGAUAAAAACAGUUGGAAGACUCCGGGAGAUCUGCAACAUGUAGCACACUGUGGAUUCCUUUGUUUCCCAGUCCUCUGUGCUCCUGAAGUGCUAAUGAAGCCUUUGUUAUAAAAUGGAUGGCUGUAGUGAGUAUGUCAGCCCAUAAUCUAUAAAACCAGUCUAAGUGCCUGUGAGCUAGACUAACGUCAAUUUUGUUUUAUGAUCAUCUAAAAACAAAUGACAUGAGAUAUUUGCUGAGAUUUUACUCUAAAAAUCCAGAGUAAAGUGGAUCCCCUUGGUCUCUAGUAACAGUUAAAUUAUAUCCCACUUGGGCAUUUCUGGGAAUUUAUAAGUUUUUAAUUAAUUCAAAAUUCCACACUGCAGUAGCAUAAAGAUAAUUUCCUCUCCAGCAAACAAUUGUAGUAAAAACAAUUCCAUGCACAAAGUAAAUUGAGGUAUUGAGAAACAGUUUUCAUUAUUAUAAAGAAUGAAAUAAGGAUAGGGAGACCCACUGGGGCUUAGUUCCAAUUUCAUGUAGCAUUUUUCUCAUUCAUUUGUUGGACUUAUUCUGCCAGAAUGUAUUUUAUGUUAAUAUAACUAAAUCUAAUUUUUACCUCUCGUGAAGAGACUAGGAUAUUAUAACAUUCAACCACAUAUUGGUGAUUCUCUUCUAUUACGGUCAUAUCUGCUGAAAUUGUUAUAUAGCUAUUUUUUUGCAAAAUAUAUUAAGACAUUCCAGAUUUUUAAAGUGGUUCUUUAGUAGUUAAAUUUAAUUAGACUUAGGUAGACUAACCAAAAGGAAUAGUAGUACAAAUACAAGGUGAUUUGCCUUUAAAUAAGAGACAGCAUUGUACUUAUAGGAAAAUAGGGAAAAAUUUAAAAAAGGUCUUGCAAUGAAAUUCCCAUUUGGAAUUGUCAAAUUUCCCCAGAUUAUAAUUGUUCUCUCCUGGUGUCUUUAUAUCAAUAGUUCCUUGAGAAUAUUCACUUAAGUUUUUCCUUAUAUUAUUUUGGCUAAAUUUUAUAAGAUAUUAUCUUUCACAAAAUGUCAUGUACUUUCCUUGCCACAUAUGGUAAUAGUCAAGGUUUUCGGUUUUGUAUCAUAAAUUUUAAAGAAAACUAAGCAGCCUACUAACGUUAAUUAACUCUUACAUUAAGACUGUGCAGUAAAUCAACUCUGCUCCUUGGAUUUUUUUCCUAACGCUUUAUUGCUAUGGCAAUAAUAUCUUCAAAACUGUUACCUCUUACCUGUUUUCCUCAGCUAGUGAGUGUUCAACUGUUAUCUAAUAUUUCUUUUUUAGGGGGUGAGGUUAUUUUAUUUUUUAUAAAAUUAAUAUGUACUACAAUGUUUUUUUUACAGUUCAAUAAAUUUUGGUAUAUUCAGAGUUGUGCAACCAUCAACACAGUUACUGUUAGAACAUUUCAUCACCUCAAAAAGACAUGCCCAUGCCCAUUAGCAGUUAUUCCUCACCUUCCCUAACUCCCCCAGCCCUAAGCAAUCACCAGACUACUUUCUCUGUGGAUUUGUCUAGUCUGGACAUUGUCUAGUACUUUUUUUUUUGAGACGGAGUCUCGCUCUAUCGCCCAGGCUGGAGUGCAGUGGCGCGAUCUCGGCUCACUGCAAGCUCCGCCUCCCGGGUUCACACCAUUCUCCUGCCUCAGCCUCCUGAGUAGCUGGGACUACAGGCGCCCACCACCAGGCCGGCUAAUUUUUUGUAUUUUUAGUAGAGACGGGGUUUCACCGUGUUAGCCAGGAUGGUCUCGAUCUCCCGACCUUGUGAUCCACCCGUCUCAGCCUCUCAAAGUGCUGGGAUUACAGGCAUGAGCCACCGCGCCCGGCCUGUCUAGUACUUCUUAAAGCUCAGUCCUUUCUUUGUAUGCAGAGUAAAGCUAAAAGGGAGAUUAUCUGAUAAAUUCAUUUGAUGGUAAGAUAGUUUCCACCUUUAAUUUUUAUUUUAAUAUGAUAGGUGCUUUUUGAAAUUCAAAGGUGAACAAGACACUGAUUGCAGCUCUACAGGAUCUAGAACCAGCGGUACAAGGGAUAUAAUAAUAAUAGUAAAAAUCCAGGGUUAGGUUUAUGAUUAAGGGUAGAAAGUCAAUGAAAAGGAAAGUGAAAAAUAAUCAGGAAUUUAAACACUAAAAUAUUUUCAUGUAUCUAGAUUAUUCCCAAUUCUCUGAAAGUCAGGCGAUUCAUCUGACAUGAAAUAAACUAAUACUAGUUUUUCUGUGGUUCAUGGAAAAUACAAGGAUGCCUCAAACAAAAUAUUCUUUCUCUAGAGUCAGAGAAAUUUCAUACAUGGAAUCACUGGGGUUUUUUGUUUUGUUUGAAACUAAUAAACUCUGUCUCCCAGGCUGGAGUGCAAUAGUGCAAUUACAGCCCCAUUCCAACUUCUGGGCUCAAAUA
This 3845-nucleotide long non-coding RNA is filed under the name Homo sapiens (human). RNAcentral's name for it is "HSALNT0340059". Lineage: Eukaryota; Metazoa; Chordata; Mammalia; Primates; Hominidae. The record is from RNAcentral.